GCUUAGCGUACAGGCUAUACUUAGCGGUAGAUCACCAUGUUUUAAUGGUUACCACCCAAUGAGAAUCAAACUUUCUUUAGGAAAAAAAGUAGAAAGUACAAAUGCAAAACACAGUUAAAAAGAGCUAUUCAAAUCAAGGUUUCCUGCUUGCAUGAUUAAAAUAGGUGAUUUUUAAUUGCUUUGAUCUGAAUCAAUCUACCCUGAUUAGUAGCCCCAACGUGUCGAGCUGGGAGGUAAAUUUAGCAAGAAUAUAAUUAAGGCCUUGAGCCAGCUUCUUGUAUUGCAUUGGCAAACAGGGCUUUCAUGGAACCCUGUUGGCUUGAACAGGGCUGCAUGUGGGUGUCAGGAUCUUUCCACGUGAAGCACGUUGCAGGAUCAGGGCCUAAAAGAAUUUUACAUGCAGCUUUUCUCUGCAACCACGACCGCUAGAAACUUAAAGGACAACUGCGGAUUCUCCCAUAAUCCCUUGACUUCAGGAACUGGGACUUUAAGUAAAACUCCAAAUAUUGUGAUCAAUAAAAUCACGAGCCUUGGCAACGCUGCCAGAUGUGGAAAAUCAGGGGAUUGGCAAAAUAGGCGCAGCCAUCACUAGCUCACUAAAAACGCUGGCAAAAUCUAAGAAUCAGAAAUCCAUCUUGAAAACUCUUGAGCUACUCUCAACCAAAAUGUGAGGAUGUGGGGCGUGUGACGAACAAUGCCUGGAUGCAGAGGUUGGGGAGAAAUGAACUAGAGUUUUCGCAACACACACAUUGUUUACUCAGAUUCCAUUCGGCUAAUUCCUGUCUGAAAGGUGAGCACGCUGUUAUGAGCUGGGUGAAAUCUUGCUAUGGGCUGAGUUAAACCCUUGUGAAUGCACCUUUCAUUUAAGAUUCCUCGAAUUAAAGAGACAGUUCAGGGAGCACACCUGACACCAGUUCUGGGAGUCUGCCCAGAAACCAGCAACAGUGGGCAGAGGGCUCCACUGGGUACAGUUCUGACCAGGUGUGUGUAUGGUGGUGAGGGGAGAGACAAGCCGGAGGGCAGACGAGAACCUGAGAAAGAGAAUGAGACCGACAGAGGGACAGCCUGAGCAAGCAGGAUGUCUGACCCUGGAAGAACCUAGAGAGGAGGUUUCUGGGUCCAGUGUUGUCUAAAGAGACUUGGGGCUGGAAGUAAAGAAGCUAUCAGCUGGUUUUGGCUCCUCCUGCCUUUGGAGUAGCAGGACUUUCUAUAUUCCUUGUAAAGAAACAAGAUUGCAUCAAAGGUACCAGGCUCCAUCUUUGGUUUCUACACCCAAGUGGAACAAGCCACAAAGCCCAGAACUUUGACUAGCCACUCAGGUGGAUUUAAAAAAAAAAAAAAGCAGGGAAGGGCAGGCAUAACAGUAUAAAGUACAGGAGCUCUAGUGGUACAAAGUAGUGUUACAUAUCACACAAUUCAGCUCUUGCAUACAAUGUCAGCUGAGGAAUGCUCUCUUGUAUGACUGAGGUUCAUGGUAACCACUGGGCCACCAGAAAGGGCUGCCCAUUCAUCGCUCUUCUAGUUUAGUAUAGUAGGCAGGUCACCCAGGCACCCGGAAACGUCUGUUGGUUCAUAAUCAGCACCCCAAAAAAAGUGCUGGUUUGAAAGAGUUGCAUCAAACCCACUGAACUCAUUGUUUCCUUGUGGUCCCCCCCACCCCCAGUUUGUCUCUUGCCUUGCACUUCGAUUGUAAGCUCUCGGAGCAGGGAUUGUCUCUCUGUUUGUACAGUGCCUAGCACAAAGGGGUCCAUGAUCUAGGCUCCUAGGUGCUACUGCCAGAUAACAUACAAUAAUAAAUAAUAGAGCUUGAUGGACUUUAAUGCUCUAUUUAAUUCUGUCAUUUUUCAGAGUAAAUUCUUUCUGCAAGCUUUUCUAAAUUAACACUCCAUACAAUUCCCUAUUAAAUUCUGUGGAAUGGUUUUAAAAAUACCUGUAGCUAGCAGAUUAUAGGUAGGGCCCUACCAAAUUCACGGUCCAUUUAGGUCAAUUUCACAGUCAUAGGAUUUUAAAAAUAGCAAAUUUCAUGAUUUUCGCUAUUUAUAUCUGAAAUUUCACAGUGUUGUAAUUGUAGGGGUCCUGAGCCAAAAAGGAGUGGUGUGUGUGUGUGUGGGGCGGGGGGGGCCUUGCAGGGUUAUUGUAGAGGGGGUUGCGGUACUGUUACCCUUACUUUUGCGCUGCUGCUUGCAGAGCUGGGCCCUCAGUCAGCAGCUGCCACUCUCCAGCCGCCCAGCUCUGAAGGCAGCGCAGAAGUAAAGGUGGCAAUACCAUGACCCCCCUGAAAUAACCGUGUGACCCUCCCUGCAACUCCCUUUUGGGUCAGGCCCCCUUAUAUGAGAAACUCUGGUCUCCCCCGUGAAAUCUGUAUAGUAUACGGUAAAAGCACACAAAAGACCAGAUUUCAUGGUCCAUGACAUGUUUCUCAUGGCUGUGAAUGUGGUAGGGCCCUAAUUAUAGGGAAGAAUCCCUUUAAAUAGUUUGGGAGGUCCCUAGUAGCCAGUUAUGGCCCUAUCCCUCAUCCUUUCUUGACUUCUCUAGGAGUCUUUCAUAUGCCCAGGUUUGAGGUGUCCCUGCAUGUGUUCUGAUUUUUAUGUCCUUGGAGGUUUUUCAGAGCAGGUUGGCCAAACACCUGUCAGGUACGGUCUAGGUUCUCUUGGUCCUGCCUCAGCAUGGGGGGAUGGACUAGCUGACCCCUUGAGGUCCUUUCCAGCCCUAUGUUUCUCUGAUAUUUUGUUUACAGCUGAACUGGAGUGCAAGGCUUGAGCAUGGAAUCCAAACUUGGGUCCACCGCUUACCAGUGUGUGAUCUCGUGAAGGGUUUCCAUUAGCACCCGUUACCAUAGUGUGUAAGCAGCAUCGCUACUAGCUGGCUCAGCAUCCAGUUCUCUUCAGAGAUUUUCCUCCUUGCUGGAUUCAUAACAGUUUUCUCUUUUCCUUGGCUCUCCAGAAUGUGUGGAGAUGUAGGGGCUAGCAGGGGAAUUGAGUGUAUAUGUGUGGGAGAGAAUGUUGAGGAAACUCCAGCAAAGUACUUAUGGCUAUAGGCCCUGACUAUUGGUAUUACCGUCCCCUAGUGGUCACUUAAUUCUAUACUAGUAAAUAGGAUUCUGCGUACUGGAUUAGGCAAUCCUUAGUCCAUAGUCUGCUGAGAGAAAGGAGCUGGCCCUGUUCUCCUGGGAGUUCCUGGCAUCCUGGGGUGGGAGAACAGGGUCUGAGGACUGCAGGAGCAAGAGACAGCGGAAUAGGUAAAAGGGGGACAAAAGGCAGAUGGAGGAGAGAGCAGGAGACAAGUGAGGCACAGCCAGGGAGAGAGCAGGAUCAGGAGAGGGAGUCCGAUGAAAAAGAGAUGAAACGUUUUACAGAAUGCCCCCCGUCCCCAAGGGUAGACAUGGGCCCUAAAUGCCCUAACCAAAAA
Molecule: long non-coding RNA, 3408 nt
Organism: Chelonia mydas (Green sea turtle)
Lineage: Eukaryota; Metazoa; Chordata; Testudines; Cheloniidae
Exons: 3
Source: RefSeq, a predicted model, not a curated record